GGAAUCUGGGAGGACCAUCUCCUAAGGCUAAAUACUCUCUAGUGACCGAUAGUGAACCAGUACCGUGAGGGAAAGGUGAAAAGCACCCCGGAAGGGGAGUGAAAUAGAACCUGAAACCGUGUGCUUACAAGUAGUCAGAGCCCGUUAAUGGGUGAUGGCGUGCCUUUUGUAGAAUGAACCGGCGAGUUACGAUUUGAUGCAAGGUUAAGCAGUAAAUGUGGAGCCGUAGCGAAAGCGAGUCUGAAUAGGGCGUUUAGUAUUUGGUCGUAGACCCGAAACCAGGUGAUCUACCCUUGGUCAGGUUGAAGUUCAGGUAACACUGAAUGGAGGACCGAACCGACUUACGUUGAAAAGUGAGCGGAUGAACUGAGGGUAGCGGAGAAAUUCCAAUCGAACCUGGAGAUAGCUGGUUCUCUCCGAAAUAGCUUUAGGGCUAGCCUCAAGUGAUGAUUAUUGGAGGUAGAGCACUGUUUGGACGAGGGGCCCCUCUCGGGUUACCGAAUUCAGACAAACUCCGAAUGCCAAUUAAUUUAACUUGGGAGUCAGAACAUGGGUGAUAAGGUCCGUGUUCGAAAGGGAAACAGCCCAGACCACCAGCUAAGGUCCCAAAAUAUAUGUUAAGUGGAAAAGGAUGUGGCGUUGCCCAGACAACUAGGAUGUUGGCUUAGAAGCAGCCAUCAUUUAAAGAGUGCGUAAUAGCUCACUAGUCGAGUGACACUGCGCCGAAAAUGUACCGGGGCUAAACAUAUUACCGAAGCUGUGGAUUGUCCUUUGGACAAUGGUAGGAGAGCGUUCUAAGGGCGUUGAAGCAUGAUCGUAAGGACAUGUGGAGCGCUUAGAAGUGAGAAUGCCGGUGUGAGUAGCGAAAGACGGGUGAGAAUCCCGUCCACCGAUUGACUAAGGUUUCCAGAGGAAGGCUCGUCCGCUCUGGGUUAGUCGGGUCCUAAGCUGAGGCCGACAGGCGUAGGCGAUGGAUAACAGGUUGAUAUUCCUGUACCACCUAUAAUCGUUUUAAUCGAUGGGGGGACGCAGUAGGAUAGGCGAAGCGUGCGAUUGGAUUGCACGUCUAAGCAGUAAGGCUGAGUAUUAGGCAAAUCCGGUACUCGUUAAGGCUGAGCUGUGAUGGGGAGAAGACAUUGAGUCUUCGAGUCGUUGAUUUCACACUGCCGAGAAAAGCCUCUAGAUAGAAAAUAGGUGCCCGUACCGCAAACCGACACAGGUAGUCAAGAUGAGAAUUCUAAGGUGAGCGAGCGAACUCUCGUUAAGGAACUCGGCAAAAUGACCCCGUAACUUCGGGAGAAGGGGUGCUCUUUAGGGUUAACGCCCAGAAGAGCCGCAGUGAAUAGGCCCAAGCGACUGUUUAUCAAAAACACAGGUCUCUGCUAAACCGUAAGGUGAUGUAUAGGGGCUGACGCCUGCCCGGUGCUGGAAGGUUAAGAGGAGUGGUUAGCUUCUGCGAAGCUACGAAUCGAAGCCCCAGUAAACGGCGGCCGUAACUAUAACGGUCCUAAGGUAGCGAAAUUCCUUGUCGGGUAAGUUCCGACCCGCACGAAAGGCGUAACGAUUUGGGCACUGUCUCAACGAGAGACUCGGUGAAAUCAUAGUGCCUGUGAAGAUGCAGGUUACCCGCGACAGGACGGAAAGACCCCGUGGAGCUUUACUGUAGCCUGAUAUUGAAAUUCGGCACAGCUUGUACAGGAUAGGUAGGAGCCUUUGAAACGUGAGCGCUAGCUUACGUGGAGGCGCUGGUGGGAUACUACCCUAGCUGUGUUGGCUUUCUAACCCGCACCACUUAUCGUGGUGGGAGACAGUGUCAAGCGGGCAGUUUGACUGGGGCGGUCGCCUCCUAAAAGGUAACGGAGGCGCUCAAAGGUUCCCUCAGAAUGGUUGGAAAUCAUUCAUAGAGUGUAAAGGCAUAAGGGAGCUUGACUGCGAGACCUACAAGUCGAGCAGGGUCGAAAGACGGACUUAGUGAUCCGGUGGUUCCGCAUGGAAGGGCCAUCGCUCAACGGAUAAAAGCUACCCCGGGGAUAACAGGCUUAUCUCCCCCAAGAGUUCACAUCGACGGGGAGGUUUGGCACCUCGAUGUCGGCUCAUCGCAUCCUGGGGCUGUAGUCGGUCCCAAGGGUUGGGCUGUUCGCCCAUUAAAGCGGUACGCGAGCUGGGUUCAGAACGUCGUGAGACAGUUCGGUCCCUAUCCGUCGUGGGCGUAGGAAAUUUGAGAGGAGCUGUCCUUAGUACGAGAGGACCGGGAUGGACAUACCUCUGGUGUACCAGUUGUCGUGCCAACGGCAUAGCUGGGUAGCUAUGUGUGGACGGGAUAAGUGCUGAAAGCAUCUAAGCAUGAAGCCCCCCUCAAGAUGAGAUUUCCCAACUUCGGUUAUAAGAUCCCUCAAAGAUGAUGAGGUUAAUAGGUUCGAGGUGGAAGCAUGGUGACAUGUGGAGCUGACGAAUACUAAUCGAUCGAAGACUUAAUCAA
RNAcentral lists this ribosomal RNA (2479 nucleotides) under Staphylococcus aureus H57821. RNAcentral's name for it is "bacterial LSU rRNA". It matches the Rfam family "Bacterial large subunit ribosomal RNA", at positions 439 to 2925 of the family's 2925-position model. Lineage: Bacteria; Bacillati; Bacillota; Bacilli; Caryophanales; Staphylococcaceae. The record is from RNAcentral.